This 1718-nucleotide unclassified non-coding RNA is filed under the name Hevea brasiliensis (rubber tree). The record is from RNAcentral. Lineage: Eukaryota; Viridiplantae; Streptophyta; Magnoliopsida; Malpighiales; Euphorbiaceae.
CUUUUUUGGUGAUGCUAGUUGUUCUUCAAUAGAUCAAUGUAGUUGUAAUUGGUUUUGAUUCUUUUGUUCAUAUAGCUGCUUGUCCGGUUUCUUUAAUAUGAAAUUCACUGCUUUAUCUUGAAUAGCUUUUUAAUGAUUCUUAAUUGCUAUGGAGCUUUAUUAGUUGUGUUUUUUCUUUUCUUUCGUAUGACUACAUAGGUUACUAGAUAAUCUGAUUAUGAAAUUUAUCACACGCUUGUUUUCUUGAUAUACUUUACUUGCGCCGAGGAUCCAUCUGGAAUAGCCUCUCCACCUUUACAAGGUAGGGAUAAGGCUGAGACUCCAAUUGUGGGAUUAUACGGUGUAUUUUGUUGUUGUUAAUGAAAUUUAGUGUACUUAGGAGGAGGUAUUUUAGGCGGUGGUUCAAUACAUUGCAUUCUCGUGCUUGAUACUGCGGUGGCUAUUAAUUUGCUAAUUCAUGUUGAACCAAAAGUAAGUUAAAGAAGCUGAAACAUCCCGCCUUUUAUUUAAAUGACCUUCUACUAUCUUGAACUUUGACGAAGUCUGUCAAUUUUUAUGCUCUUUAUAGGAGAAGUCUUGGAAAAGCAAAUGAGUUUAGGCAUAUUCUAUGUCAUAGGGAAUUGGGAUAGUUUUGUUGUUUUUGUAAUCAUGGACAUGUCUUUGCAUAGCUACUGAUGUGAUUUAAUUUUUUUUCUAUAGAUUUAUUGUCCCACGUUCCACAUCAUGGUAUUAAUGCUUGAUCAGAUUUGUUAGAUCUUUGGUGCUGAGUCCAGAAAGUUCUUCACCCAAAAGCUGCCUGUGGUUCAUAAAAAAAGAAACACAUGGAAGAAGACAUUGCAAUUUCCCAAUUUCAAAUCUUGGGUGUCAUUUCCUUAAUAAUUCUUGGAUUUGAAUUAAUCGCUCUCAUAUCCAUGUCAAGGAGAUAUAUACCAACUGGAAGUUUCGAGGAAUUGACAAAUUUGGCAUAUACAAACUAAAACCUGGUAUAGGGCAUUGUCCAAUCUCAGGUGUUCCUUUGAUAUUCCCAGUCCACUCUUGCGACCAAAGAAAGAACACAAUGAAGUAGGUUAAGGUCAGCUAAAGGAUUUGAUGGGGCUAAGGAUGGUUCCAAAAAGAGCAGCUACUUUAGAUGAACGCUACUGUGGUUGCACUAUUUAUUUGCAUGCAUGAAAUUGACAUACGUGUAUCCUGUUCGCUCGAGCCAUGAUAAAGAUGGGUGAAUUCGAUAUCAAAGGGAUGAAAAGAAGCUGAUAGCAUAAUACAUGAGUAGGUUGGCCAAGAAUAACCUUGAUGAUCAAGAGAACUUUACUGACCAUCCCUAAAUCCCAACGAAAGCCUUCUACCGGGGCUUUGCUGGGAAAACCUGCUUAAAAAAAUGGACAUGUGUGAAGACCAAGAGCGGUUAUUCACUUUUCUUCUUCCUUAGUCUAAGCAAUCAAUUUGUGAGAUAAAUUAAUUCUCCAUUUGUAGUUAGAUUUUUGCGUUUGUAUAACCUUUUUUUUCGAGUUCUACCUUGAAAGGAAACCUACAAUGAGAUUGUACCCGAAUAGAGAUGGUGGUCUUACUCUGGCCCAUAAUAGAAUAGCUAGGUGAAGCAGUCAAUCGAUCUUAUAUAUAAGAAGAACAAAAGAUCUUUCUUGAUCAAUUCCUUUGCCAAGAUAACCUUUGAGGUACCUCAAGAUUCUGUAUAGCAGGUUGCUUACGAACUCAAACUGCUU